RNAcentral lists this ribosomal RNA (433 nucleotides) under uncultured bacterium. Its description in RNAcentral is "partial 16S ribosomal RNA". It matches the Rfam family "Bacterial small subunit ribosomal RNA", at positions 29 to 507 of the family's 1533-position model. The record is from RNAcentral.
AACGAACGCUGGCGGCAUGCCUAACACAUGCAAGUCGAACGAGACCUUCGGGUCUAGUGGCGCACGGGGGCUUAACGAGUGGUGACCUGCACUUAAGUUCGGAAUACCUCCCCGAGAGGGGUGCUAAUGCCGGAUAAUGUCUUCGCACCAAAGAUUUAUCGCCUUAGGAUGGGCCCGCGUUGGAUUCGCUAGUUGGUAGUGUAAAAGCCUACCAACGCGACGAUUCAUAGCUGGUCUGAGAAGAUGAUCAGCCACACUGGGACUGAGACACGGCCCAGCCUCCGACGGGAGGCAGCAGUAGGGAAUAUUGGACAAGGGACGAAAGCCUGAUCCAGCAAUGCCGCGUGAGUGAGGAAUGCCUUAGGGUUGUAAAUCUCUCUUACCCGGGAUGAGAAUGACAGUACCGGGAGAAUAAGCUCCGGCUAACUCCGUG